CUUGCGGAAAAUCGUUCUUUCUGUUCUUGGAGUCGGGAAACUGCAGUUGAAGUGAAUCAGUUAAAGUAUCACCUUGAAUAGAAACUGAAACAACAAACUAAUUAAAUAUGUUACGACAGAUAACGGGAGCCAUUGGAUCCCUCAGACUUAGGACGUACGGAGUCAAUUACCAUAGUGGAAAUUACAGAAAUGUUAAGGAGCGGAGAAACGUGUAUGGAAAUACCAACACUAACAGGAAUGGACGUUUUGAGAAUCACAAUAAAAAUAAUAUUAACAAUAUUUCUGGCAACUUGAGGAAACCAAAUUGGAGUUCAGAAAGUUUAAAACCAUUUAAAAAAGAUUUUUAUAUACCACAUCCUGAUGUCCAGUCACGUCAUCCACAAGACAUAGAUUCAUUUAGACAAGAAAAUCAAAUCACACUUAAGGGAGAAAAAAUUCCAAAUCCUAUUCAACAUUUUGAAGAAGGAAAUUUCCCUGAUCAUGUCAUGCAAUGUAUCAGAAAACAAGGAUUCAGUGAGCCAACAGCUAUUCAAGCUCAAGGAUGGCCAAUUGCUAUGUCUGGUCAAAACAUGGUUGGAAUAGCACAAACUGGCUCUGGAAAGACUUUAGGAUACAUCUUGCCAGCAUUAGUACAUAUUAGUAGUCAACAACCUUUAAAUCGUGGCGAUGGGCCGAUUGCUCUCAUCCUAGUGCCAACCAGAGAAUUGGCACAACAAAUUCAAGAUGUUGCCCACAAUUUCAGCUCUUUGUCAUAUGCAAAAAGUACAUGUAUUUUUGGUGGAGCACCAAAAGGAAAACAAGCUCGUGAUUUAGAACAAGGAGUUGAAAUCUGCAUUGCCACACCUGGACGAUUAAUCGAUUUUCUGGAACAUGGCACAACCAACUUACGCAGAUGCACUUACCUGGUAUUGGAUGAAGCAGACAGAAUGUUAGACAUGGGUUUUGAGCCUCAAAUUCGAAAAAUCAUUGAACAAAUUAGGCCAGACAGACAAGUUCUUAUGUGGUCUGCAACAUGGCCAAAAGAAGUCAGAAAUCUUGCCGAAGAAUACCUUGUAGAUUAUACACAAUUGAACAUUGGAUCAUUAACCCUGUCAGCUAACCACAACAUUCUACAAAUUAUUGAUGUUUGUGAGGAACAUGAAAAACAAACAAAAUUAGAAAACCUUCUGCAGGAAAUUAGUAGUGUUAAUCCUAAUGAUGGAAAGACAAUAAUUUUUGUUGAAACAAAGAAAAAAGUAGAGAAUAUUGCCAGAAAUAUUCGUCGUUAUGGCUGGCCUGCAGUAUGCAUACACGGUGACAAAUCGCAAGGAGAAAGAGAUCAUGUUCUUACAGAAUUCAGAAGGAAAAGGAACGCAAUUCUUGUAGCAACAGAUGUUGCUGCCCGCGGAUUAGAGGCACAUGGUGCACAAAUUGUGUUGAGUGUGCGAUGAAAAACGAUCAUUCGAUAAAGAAAACAUGGCUCACUCAUUGUACAUGCGCAAUUCUGUUUUGUACAUAAUAUUGUACUUAAUGUGCCUCUGUGUUCAGCCUCUGUGUACCACGCGAUAGUAGAGUGGUGCGCGGGUGGUGCCGCAAUCGUGCUGAUUGGUUGUGAGAUAAAGCGGUGGUUUACAACCGGUACACCUCAUAGCCAGUGUUCAGCCCGUGUCAGAGACAACAAUCUAUUGAUUUUGCUACUAUCGCUACUACUCAGUGGUGAUGCUUAGGACACGACGUCGCUAAGUGAACUUGCAUUUAAGAAUAGCACACAUUGAGGCGCUCUGUAUGCAGUCAUACGGAACGCAUUGUCCAACGAUAACUGGAUGUCGACGACGUAAAGUUUGUGAUCAACUUCGAUUACCCAACAUCAUCUGAAAACUACAUUCAUAGAAUCGGUAGGACGGGUCGUUCAAAUAAUUCA
This 1900-nucleotide unclassified non-coding RNA is filed under the name Megachile rotundata (alfalfa leafcutting bee). Its description in RNAcentral is "aTP-dependent RNA helicase p62-like, transcript variant X3". The record is from RNAcentral. Lineage: Eukaryota; Metazoa; Arthropoda; Insecta; Hymenoptera; Megachilidae.